CCUACGGGAGGCAGCAGUGGGGAAUUUUGGACAAUGGGGGCAACCCUGAUCCAGCCAUGCCGCGUGAGUGAAGAAGGCCUUCGGGUUGUAAAGCUCUUUCGGCCGGAACGAAAUCGCGCACGUGAAUAACGUGCGUGGAUGACGGUACCGGAGUAAGAAGCACCGGCUAACUACGUGCCAGCAGCCGCGGUAAUACGUAGGGUGCGAGCGUUAAUCGGAAUUACUGGGCGUAAAGCGUGCGCAGGCGGUUCGCUAAGUCAGACGUGAAAGCCCCGGGCUUAACCUGGGAACGGCGUUUGAAACUGGCGGGCUCGAGUACGGCAGAGGGGGGUGGAAUUCCACGUGUAGCAGUGAAAUGCGUAGAUAUGUGGAGGAACACCGAUGGCGAAGGCAGCCCCCUGGGCCGAUACUGACGCUCAUGCACGAAAGCGUGGGGAGCAAACAGGAUUAGAUACCCUGGUAGUCCACGCCCUAAACUAUGUACAACUAGUUGUCGGGGAAGCAAUUCCUAGGUAACGCGGCUAACGCGUGAAGUUCGACCGCCGUCGGGUAGGUACGGUCGCGAAGAAGUUAAACUACGAAGGAAGUUAGUACGGCGUGAGACGUGCCGACGGACGACGACGAGGGAGGUAGG
Molecule: ribosomal RNA, 634 nt
Filed under: uncultured bacterium
Lineage: Bacteria
Description: bacterial SSU rRNA
Rfam family: Bacterial small subunit ribosomal RNA (bases 1-544)
Source: RNAcentral